This 305-nucleotide ribosomal RNA is filed under the name uncultured bacterium. RNAcentral's name for it is "bacterial SSU rRNA". It matches the Rfam family "Bacterial small subunit ribosomal RNA", at positions 333 to 631 of the family's 1533-position model. The record is from RNAcentral.
AACGCCCUACGGGAGCAGCAGUGGGGAAUAUUGCGCAAUGGACGAAAGUCUGACGCAGCGACGCCGCGUGAGGGAUGAAGGUUUUCGGAUCGUAAACCUCUGUCAGGAGGGAAGAAAGCGCAUGGCGCCAAUCAGCCAUGCGUUGACGGUACCUCCAAAGGAAGCGCCGGCUAACUCCGUGCCAGCAGCCGCGGUAAUACGGAGGGCGCGAGCGUUAAUCGGAAUCACUGGGCGUAAAGCGCGCGUAGGCUGUUGUGUAAGUUGGGGGUGAAAUCCCACGGCUCAACCGUGGAACAGCCCUUGAU